CCUACGGGUGGCUGCAGUGGGGAAUAUUGCACAAUGGGGGAAACCCUGAUGCAGCAACGCCGCGUGAGUGAUGAAGGUUUUCGGAUCGUAAAGCUCUGUCUUCAGGGACGAUAAUGACGGUACCUGAGGAGGAAGCCACGGCUAACUACGUGCCAGCAGCCGCGGUAAUACGUAGGUGGCGAGCGUUGUCCGGAUUUACUGGGCGUAAAGGGAGCGUAGGCGGACUUUUAAGUGAGAUGUGAAAUACUCGGGCUCAACCCGGGGGCUGCAUUUCAAACUGGGAGUCUAGAGUGCAGGAGAGGAGAGUGGAAUUCCUAGUGUAGCGGUGAAAUGCGUAGAGAUUAGGAAGAACACCAGUGGCGAAGGCGACUCUCUGGACUGUAACUGACGCUGAGGCUCGAAAGCGUGGGGAGCAAACAGGAUUAGAUACCCCAGUAGUC
RNAcentral lists this ribosomal RNA (440 nucleotides) under uncultured Clostridium sp. Its description in RNAcentral is "bacterial SSU rRNA". It matches the Rfam family "Bacterial small subunit ribosomal RNA", at positions 338 to 795 of the family's 1533-position model. The record is from RNAcentral. Lineage: Bacteria; Bacillati; Bacillota; Clostridia; Eubacteriales; Clostridiaceae.